RNAcentral lists this ribosomal RNA (460 nucleotides) under uncultured bacterium. RNAcentral describes it as "partial 16S ribosomal RNA". It matches the Rfam family "Bacterial small subunit ribosomal RNA", at positions 338 to 795 of the family's 1533-position model. The record is from RNAcentral.
CCUACGGGUGGCUGCAGUGAGGAAUAUUGGUCAAUGGGCGCGAGCCUGAACCAGCCAAGUAGCGUGAAGGAUGACUGCCCUACGGGUUGUAACCUUCUUUUAUAAAGGAGUAAAGUGAGGCACGUGUGCCUAUUAGUAUGUACUUUAUGAAUAAGGAUCGGCUAACUCCGUGCCAGCAGCCGCGGUAAUACGGAGGAUCCGAGCGUUAUCCGGAUUUAUUGGGUUUAAAGGGAGCGUAGAUGGGUUGAUAAGUCAGUUGUGAAAGUUUGCGGCUCAACCGUAAAAUUGCAAUUGAUACUGGCAGUCUUGAGUACAGUUGAGGUAGGCGGAAUUCGUGGUGUAGCGGUGAAAUGCUUAGAUAUCACGAAGAACUCCGAUUGCGAAGGCAGAUGACUAAACUGCCACUGACAGUGAGGCGCGAAAGUGUGGGUAUCAAACAGGAUUAGAUACCCCAGUAGUC